AACGAACGCUGGCGGCAUGCCUAACACAUGCAAGUCGAACGAGACCUUCGGGUCUAGUGGCGCACGGGUGCGUAACGCGUGGGAAUCUGCCCUUGGGUUCGGAAUAACAGCGAGAAAUUGCUGCUAAUACCGGAUGAUGACGUAAGUCCAAAGAUUUAUCGCCCAAGGAUGAGCCCGCGUAGGAUUAGCUAGUUGGUGAGGUAAAGGCUCACCAAGGCGACGAUCCUUAGCUGGUCUGAGAGGAUGAUCAGCCACACUGGGACUGAGACACGGCCCAGACUCCUACGGGAGGCAGCAGUGGGGAAUAUUGGACAAUGGGCGAAAGCCUGAUCCAGCAAUGCCGCGUGAGUGAUGAAGCCUUAGGUUGUAAAGCUCUUUACCCGGGAUGAUAAUGACAGUACCGGGAGAAUAAGCUCCGGCUAACUCCGUGCCAGCAGCCGCGGUAAU
This 447-nucleotide ribosomal RNA is filed under the name uncultured bacterium. RNAcentral describes it as "bacterial SSU rRNA". It matches the Rfam family "Bacterial small subunit ribosomal RNA", at positions 29 to 524 of the family's 1533-position model. The record is from RNAcentral.